UACGUAGGGGGCAAGCGUUGUCCGGAUUUACUGGGCGUAAAGAGCGUGUAGGCGGCCAGGCAGGUCUGUUGUGAAAACUGGAGGCUCAACUUCCAGACGUCGACAGAAACCGCUUGGCUAGAGUCCGGAAGAGGAGAGUGGAAUUCCUGGUGUAGCGGUGAAAUGCGCAGAUAUCAGGAAGAACACCGAUGGCGAAGGCAGCUCGCUGGGACGGUACUGACGCUGAGACGCGAAAGCGUGGGGAGCGAACAGG
RNAcentral lists this ribosomal RNA (253 nucleotides) under uncultured bacterium. Its description in RNAcentral is "partial 16S ribosomal RNA". It matches the Rfam family "Bacterial small subunit ribosomal RNA", at positions 524 to 776 of the family's 1533-position model. The record is from RNAcentral.